AAACCUCUCCCGCGGUGUCGUGUCGUGUCGUGUCGUGUCGUCCGUCGUUGUCGUCGUGUCGUGUCGUGUCGUGUCGUGUCGUUGGCGCGCGCGCGCGCGCGCCCUUACGAGAGAAAGAGAGAGAUAGCAGCACGGCCGGUGUGACAAGGACAAGUACACAACGUUGUUAGAGAGAGAGAGAGAGAAGAGAAAAGGAGGCUGAGAGAGAAAAAGAAAGAAAAAAAGAAAGAAAGAGAGAAAAAGAUAGAAAGACCGUGGAAUCGGCCGCGUUUUCAUCGAAGAAGUCUCUCGAGAAAACGAACGUGAGAAAUUACGUUUGAUAAAGAGAGAGAGAGAGAGAGAGAGAGAGAGAGAGAGAGAGAGAGAGAGAGAGAGAGAAAUAGAAAACGAAGAAAAUAAAGAGAGAGAGAGAGAGAACGACGAAUAGUCGCGUAGUAUCUUCUCGUAUAUAAAUAAAUAAAUAAAUAAAUAAAUACGUAGUAAUAUUUUUCAAAGACGUCCCGAGCCGCGUCUUUUCUCCUCUUCUCUCUUACGUUAUAUAGAGAUAUAUAGAUAUUAUCUUGUUGAUAGUGCGAAUUAAAGGAAAUAAUAGAAAAUCCGAGAAACAGGAUUAGCUUAGAGGAAGAAGAGCAUAGGAUAAUAAUAAUAAUAAUAAUAAUAAUAAUAAUAGUAGUAGUAAUAAUAGUAGUAGUAAUAAUAUUAAUAUAUAAUAGUAUCAUAAUAAUAAAUAGUGUCGUGCUUACACGUGUUUUGUACAGUGUUCAAGUGUUAACCAAUCGGCGCAGGAAGCGAAAGGAGAAACGCGACACACGGGAAGACGACAGUCGAUCAUCGUCGUUGUCGUUGUCGUUGUCGUCGUCGUCGUCGUCGUAAUCGUCGUAGUAAUCGUCGUGUUGUCGUCGUGUCGUCGUCGUCGUCUUAUUUCUUUGAUAUUAAAGAAGGAAAAUAAAAAGAAACAUCAACAACAAAAAACAAGGGACAGUGCAUUCGUGGACAGGAGUGGGGACUGCUCGAGAUUUCAUCCUGGAUACGUCGUUAUGUGGGUCUUCGAUAAUCGAAAAGGCAACGUCAUAAUUAUUACGAUACAUUGGUUCAUAUAUACCUCAAGCCAUCGGACGGGCGACAAUUGCUAUAGCGAACUUUGAUGAGAGGGAUUAUCGAUGCGCUCGCGAGCACGCGAAAUUCUAACCCUUCCGCAUGAGGAGGAGGCUACGAAGGGAAUCGGCGGUGGUGGAAGAGAAUCGUUUCGUGAUCGAUCGUCGAUCGCGAUAAUAGAAUCGUUUGCGUUCUUAUUUAAACGCUCGAGGACGUAGCCGUGCGUUUUAAUGCAACAAUAAUAACUUUCAACGAUAAUAGAAGAAAACAAUAUCUGGAUAGAAUUAAAGAAGAAGAAGAAAAAGAAGAAGAAGGAACAAAUAAGUAUCGUUAGAGAUCCUCGAAAAAGUUCUAGAAAAAAAGAGAGAGCGAGCAUCGACACUCGGAUCGAUACGAAACUUGGUGGUCUCGUCGGGUGUGCGUAUCGAUCGUCUGGUUGAAAGCAAGAAGAGAGAGAGAGAGAGAGAGAGAGAGAGAGAGAGAGAGAGAGAGAGA
Molecule: long non-coding RNA, 1590 nt
Organism: Vespula pensylvanica (western yellowjacket)
Lineage: Eukaryota; Metazoa; Arthropoda; Insecta; Hymenoptera; Vespidae
Exons: 3
Source: RefSeq, a predicted model, not a curated record